UACGAAGGGAGCUAGCGUUGUUCGGAAUCACUGGGCGUAAAGCGCACGUAGGCGGAUGUGUCAGUCAGGGGUGAAAUCCCGGAGCUCAACUUCGGAACUGCCUUUGAUACAGCACAUCUGGAGUCCGGAAGAGGUGGGUGGAAUUCCUAGUGUAGAGGUGAAAUUCGUAGAUAUUAGGAAGAACACCCGUGGCGAAGGCGGUUCUCUGGGACGGUACUGACGCUGAGACGCGAAAGCGUGGGGAGCGAACAGG
RNAcentral lists this ribosomal RNA (253 nucleotides) under uncultured bacterium. RNAcentral's name for it is "partial 16S ribosomal RNA". It matches the Rfam family "Bacterial small subunit ribosomal RNA", at positions 524 to 776 of the family's 1533-position model. The record is from RNAcentral.